Molecule: ribosomal RNA, 497 nt
Filed under: uncultured bacterium
Lineage: Bacteria
Description: partial 16S ribosomal RNA
Rfam family: Bacterial small subunit ribosomal RNA
Source: RNAcentral
GAUGAACGCUGGCGGCGUGCCUAAUACAUGCAAGUCGAGCGAACAGACGAGGAGCUUGCUCCUUCGACGUUAGCGGCGGACGGGUGAGUAACACGUAGGUAACCUACCUAUAAGACUGGGGUAACUUCGGGAAACCGGAGCUAAUACCGGAUAAUAUUUCGAACCGCAUGGUUCGAUAGUGAAAGAUGGCUUUGCUAUCACUUAUAGAUGGACCUGCGCCGUAUUAGCUAGUUGGUAAGGUAACGGCUUACCAAGGCAACGAUACGUAGCCGACCUGAGAGGGUGAUCGGCCACACUGGAACUGAGACACGGUCCAGACUCCUACGGGAGGCAGCAGUAGGGAAUCUUCCGCAAUGGGCGAAAGCCUGACGGAGCAACGCCGCGUGAGUAAUGAAGGUCUUCGGAUCGUAAAACUCUGUUAUUAGGGAAGAACAAACGUGUAAGUAACUGUGCACGUCUUGACGGUACCUAAUCAGAAAGCCACGGCUAACUACGUG